Molecule: ribosomal RNA, 185 nt
Filed under: uncultured Anaerolineaceae bacterium
Lineage: Bacteria; Bacillati; Chloroflexota; Anaerolineae; Anaerolineales; Anaerolineaceae
Description: partial 16S ribosomal RNA
Rfam family: Bacterial small subunit ribosomal RNA
Source: RNAcentral
CCUUUAUAUCCAGGGCCACACACACGCUACAAUGGUCGGCACAAUAGGUUGCCAAGUCGUGAGACGGAGCCAAUCCUCCAAAGCCGGCCUCAGUUCAGAUUGCAGGCUGCAACUCGCCUGCAUGAAGUUGGAGUUGCUAGUAAACGCAGGUCAGCUAUACUGCGUUGAAUACGUUCCCGGGGAUU